This is a long non-coding RNA of Ceratitis capitata (Mediterranean fruit fly), 436 nucleotides long. RefSeq lists it as uncharacterized. The record is from RefSeq and is a predicted model, not a curated record. The transcript has 2 exons. Lineage: Eukaryota; Metazoa; Arthropoda; Insecta; Diptera; Tephritidae.
CUUAUGAAAAUUAUACAAAAAUGUAGUUUAUAUUGUAUAUUUUAUUUUAUUUGUUCUAAAAAAAUUGUCGAAGCUUAAUUUCGAACAGGAUUGCGUUAGCUUUUUAGCGUUUGAAGUUUUUUAAGAUACUACAUUACGAGGAUUUAAUUUACUCACAUUUUGGGUGCUUAAGUGUUAACGCUACCGCAGCCACAGAUAUUGUGCCCUCUUGAAAGAUGGUUCUAGGUUUGCCCAAUUGUGUGCUCCUUACACUGUUUCAAGCUAAGCCUUUCUAAAUACGAUGGACCAAUUUAAAAAUUUUAGAAAGUAACAUUUAUUUGUGAUUAUAUUCAUGUCGGUUAUUUAUAAGUCCUUCGAACAUACCAUAUGUAAUUGUUUGAUGAAAAAAGAAUUCGGUGGAACAUAAAUUAAUUAUAUAAUAAGAUACCUUAGUAAA